RNAcentral lists this ribosomal RNA (800 nucleotides) under uncultured bacterium. RNAcentral's name for it is "bacterial SSU rRNA". It matches the Rfam family "Bacterial small subunit ribosomal RNA", at positions 8 to 809 of the family's 1533-position model. The record is from RNAcentral.
AGAGUUUGAUCCUGGCUCAGGAUGAACGCUGGCGGCGUGCUUAACACAUGCAAGUCGAACGGGGAACAUUUUAUGGAAACUUCGGUGGAAAUAGCUUGUUCCUAGUGGCGGACGGGUGAGUAACGCGUGGGUAACCUGCCUCACACUGGGGGAUAACAGUCAGAAAUGACUGCUAAUACCGCAUAAGCGCACGGGAUUGCAUGAUCCAGUGUGAAAAACUCCGGUGGUGUGAGAUGGACCCGCGUUGGAUUAGCCAGUUGGCAGGGUAACGGCCUACCAAAGCGACGAUCCAUAGCCGGCCUGAGAGGGUGGACGGCCACAUUGGGACUGAGACACGGCCCAGACUCCUACGGGAGGCAGCAGUGGGGAAUAUUGCACAAUGGGGGAAACCCUGAUGCAGCGACGCCGCGUGAAGGAAGAAGUAUCUCGGUAUGUAAACUUCUAUCAGCAGGGAAGAAAAUGACGGUACCUGACUAAGAAGCCCCGGCUAACUACGUGCCAGCAGCCGCGGUAAUACGUAGGGGGCAAGCGUUAUCCGGAUUUACUGGGUGUAAAGGGAGCGUAGACGGAGCAGCAAGUCUGAUGUGAAAGGCGGGGGCUCAACCCCUGGACUGCAUUGGAAACUGUUGAUCUUGAGUACCGGAGAGGUAAGCGGAAUUCCUAGUGUAGCGGUGAAAUGCGUAGAUAUUAGGAGGAACACCAGUGGCGAAGGCGGCUUACUGGACGGUAACUGACGUUGAGGCUCGAAAGCGUGGGGAGCAAACAGGAUAAGAUACCCUGGUAGUCCACGCCGUAAACGA